This 249-nucleotide ribosomal RNA is filed under the name uncultured bacterium. RNAcentral describes it as "partial 16S ribosomal RNA". It matches the Rfam family "Bacterial small subunit ribosomal RNA", at positions 57 to 305 of the family's 1533-position model. The record is from RNAcentral.
GCAAGUCUACGAGAAAGUUACUUCGGUAAUGAUUAAAGUGGCGCACGGGUGAGUAAUGAUUAACUAACGUACCCUUUCGCUGGGGAUAACUGAGGGAAACUUCAGCUAAUACCGAAUGAGCUGCGAUGAUCUUCGGAACAUUUCAGCAAAGCCGCAAGGCGCGAAAGGAACGGGUUAAUUUCCAUUAGCUUGUUGGUGGGGUAAGAGCCUACCAAGGCUGCGAUGGAUAACUGGUCUGAGAGGAUGAUC